RNAcentral lists this long non-coding RNA (867 nucleotides) under Nicotiana benthamiana. RNAcentral describes it as "long non-coding RNA (NBEN_LNC035623)". The record is from RNAcentral. Lineage: Eukaryota; Viridiplantae; Streptophyta; Magnoliopsida; Solanales; Solanaceae.
AAUGAGCCACAAAUUCCCACAGCUGUCGCCUGCUCUCACAACAGCAACCAAACGACCCCUCCAUUCUUCUUCUUCGACUAGUGGCAACAACACAACCAUAUCUCGACCCCUCGUCUCAUCAUACCCCACGCCAAAUGACCCACCAUCUUCAACUCCAAGCAGCAGCCGCCAACUUUAGAACCAAGAACACCAUAGCCGCCCAAACUUCCAGCCGGAGACAGCAGCAAAACCACAAGGCAACACUCGCAACAACACCCAGCAUGCCGCUGCAGCAGCCGUGACGCUCUCCAAAAUUAACAAACUAUCAUUGCUGCUGCCUCACCUCUCAUUCAUGACCACCCCAGCAGCACCCUCUUCCCUUCAUUAUUCUUUCCUUUAUCUUCCCGCUGCUAUAAACAAAACAGAACAAAAAUAAAGAACGAAAUAGAUUGGCACAAAACAGAUUCAAAGGUGUCGAGAGAGAGAGGAGUUUCUUCUUGAUUUUUCAAUUAUCCAGAUUCCAAUUUUUAGUUUGGAUUCCAAAAUUCUUUUAUAUGGUUCUGCUCUUGUCGAUUCAAAAUUUUCGGAUUUUAGAUAUGAGCUUUUAUUGAGCCAGGGCAAAGUUCGAGCUUGUCAUUAUUGUUGAUCGCCGUUCGAGUUUCCUGUUGGGGUACGUUGUUUUCCAUUAAAAGCUUUGUUGAGAUUCAUUAUUCCAGAUCCAUUGGUCGCUCAAUUUUGCUCUAAUACGUUGCUAUAACUACUGGAAUUUUCAUAUUUAAAAGGAAGCUUCAGGUUCAACUCUCUUCCUCGUUCCUAAUUUUGGUUUGAAUCUAUAUGGUGAUAAGUAUGUUACUGACCUUUUGCCUAUAUGUUUGCUUUGAUGUGGUG